Molecule: non-coding RNA, 934 nt
Organism: Odocoileus virginianus texanus
Lineage: Eukaryota; Metazoa; Chordata; Mammalia; Artiodactyla; Cervidae
Source: RefSeq, a predicted model, not a curated record
UGAUCUUGGGCAAGUCAGCUAACCUCACUGUUCCUCCAUCUCUACAGCUGUAAAAUGUGAAUAAUGACAGUCACUCUCUCAGAACUGCUGAGAACACUCAAUCAGAUAACGUGGAAGAGGGCUGAGCCCGCAGCGCCUGGCAGAGUGAGCACACAAAUCAUUGCUGGUGAUUGUUGCUGCUCUGUGAGCUGAUAAGAUACAUUUUGCCAGGAGUUUUCUCACCCAGGCUCUGGAAUGCAGCUGCCCAGAGGAUGAUGGAAAUAUUGACAAACCCUCAUCUGUGCUGCUGGGAGCUCUAACACACUGGGAACAGGUGUGGUGAAGGCCAAAUAGAAGAUGUCCCAUCUCCCUGCUGUUGGUGGACACUGGGCAUCCUGAGACAAUGAAUGAGUGACCACACUCCACAGAGCCUCUCAGGUCGGGAGACACACACGAGUGGAUCUGGAUUUGGUUCGGAAGUGAGUUCCUCUCACUUCCCCUCGGAACUUUCGGGGAGCAGAGCAUCAGCCAUCAAACUGGCAAACUCACAGCGACAGGCUUCAAAUAGUCCCCAGUAUCACGUCUCCCCUCUGCGGUAACAGAAGCACUCUGCGCCGAGCUGCGCAAUGGCCACCCAGGUAAAAGACUACAUUUCCCAGGCUCCCCUGUGGCUAGGUUGGGUCCCAGUAUGAGAAAUGUCCAGUGGCAAUUUCCAGUAACUUUCCUUAAAAGAUACUUGAAAAAUGGCUUUCUUCCCUUUUCUCCCCACCUCCCACCCUUUCCCUCUAUUCUAAUGUCUGGACUGCAGUGAUUAUGGCCACCACUUGGGACCAUGAGAAUGGGGGCUACACCUUAGCGAUGGAAGGAAGAUGAGCUGAAUGCUACCUGGGACUCUGGGAAGUCUGGGGACCUAAGCUCCGAACCUGCCCUAGACUUCCCACCUCUGGGCGUACUU